ACCAGAGUCAAGGUGUAAGCAGUACAUUGGUGAUGUCGAAGUCGAGAGUUGCACCACUGAAACGACUUUCACUGCCAAGACUGGAGCUAAUGGGAGCUUUAAUCGGAGAGAGACUCUCUCAUUUCCUCAAAGAAGCAACUGGCCCGCGAAAUAUUAAGGUCCACUUCUCGACGGAUUCGACCGUGGCGCUUCACUGGAUUAAGAGUUCUACGGACAAAUGGAAGCAGUUUGUGGCUAACAGAGUGACUGAAGUGCAGGACCUAUCCAACCCCCCAAAAGCUGGUCACAUUGUCCAGGGAAGGAAAGUCCUGUCGAUAUGCUGACCCGAGGUUUUCUGCCGUCAACACUCGUACGCAGCAGUACAUGGUGGAAAGGUCCUCCGUGGUUGCGCAUGCCUGUAAGUAACUGGCCGGCGCAAAUCACAGAACAACUCACUCGAUAUAUGUUUCAGAAGCAAAGAAGGGGACCACCACAAGUGUUGCAGGUUACCAUCACCACAAACCUAGAAGGAAUCUUUCCCUUGGAGAACUACAGUUCCUACACAAGGGGAUAGGCCUCACUGAAUAACAAGUUCAGGUCCUGCAUUCAGCAGCUGAAGCCUGACCUGCCACGUUUUCAAGUUGAACCCCACGCGCGUUCAACUCCACCUUGGACACUCCCUCUGCCAUCUGCUUCACUAUCCAUUCCCGGGCUGCAGAGAAAGGAUGAUGUCGGAAGGUGUGUCCAAGGCGCUCACACUGGAUCUGAU
This is a long non-coding RNA of Ornithodoros turicata, 748 nucleotides long. RefSeq lists it as uncharacterized. The record is from RefSeq and is a predicted model, not a curated record. The transcript is spliced from 3 exons. NCBI's taxonomy places the organism in Eukaryota, Metazoa, Arthropoda, Arachnida, Ixodida, Argasidae.